GAGAAGAGAGCAACAUCAGAAGAAAGAAGAAUCAAAGAAGAGCAAACAUGAAGAAAUAGAGAAAGACAAAACUACUCCAACAUCAUCGUUGGAUCCAACGGCUAAGAUGUUAGUUCACGAAGCCAUCAUCAGUAGUAAUAAUAAUGCUGGAAAUGCAGAGAAGUCUGAUGAUGUUCUCGUGUUCGCACGAUCUGUCAACAAGAUUGAUUCUUCUUUACAGUAGAUAGUAGUGUGUGUGAGUCCCACUUCAAUGGUGAUUACAUGUUCCACGUGUCUUGAUUUGAACCUUUUGAAUUAUUGAAGUGAGAAAUGAAUGUAUUUAGUGGUCCCUGUACUAUUUUAGAUAGAAUAGUGUAAGGUACUUUUGGCUAUUAUUGUACUUAUGGUUUGAAAUUGGGGAACUUGAUUCCCAUUUCAUGAAAAGAAUGGGCAAAAACUGAACUUGCUAAGUUCAGACUAUUAUUUUAUAGAGUGGGGAUAACAAGUUCAUAGAAUUAGAACACCCACAUUGUGCCGAGUGCACUCUUACAAUUUACAACAGUCAAUUUGGAGUUUGGUGAACUUACAUUUUCCAUGUUACACUUCAAAUAAUAAUGCAGGUACCAUUUUAUGAAUUGAUUACAAAUUAUUUUUUAGCCAAGAACACAUACAAUAUGUACUGCAGAGUCAUUUCUAGUAAUUUUCAAGUUACACUUGAAAUAAUGUAGGUACUUUAUUUUGAGUUGAUUUCAAAAAAUAAUGUUUAGCCAAAAACACACAAACUUACAAAAUAAAAUUUAUGGGACGUGGGGUGUAUGUAUCUGAAUUAAUAGUACCCUUUCUGAAGUUGUCCCCUAUCAAUUGUUCUUAUCACACCAACCUAACAAAAGGACUUAUUAUGGUGGUCCAUCAACUCCAUUGUUGCUUUCAUGCCUUGUCAUCUUAUUGUGUCUCAUUUUAUCUAACCCAACAGAAUUUCUUCUUGUAAUAUAUUGCAUUAUAUCAUGAUAUUAGUUUCCAAUCGACAUAUUUAGUAGUAUAAAACAAAUAUAAUUUUCUUUCAAAUUUAUUUUGUUGUUCAUAUAUGUAUACCCAAUUUGUUUGUUUCUAUGUCACCUUUGCUUUCUAUUGUUAUUUCCAGGAAACUCACUAGUUUGUCCAUUAUGAUAUGAUGAAUUGCAAAAGGCUUCGAGAGAUCCCCAGCAUUGUCUUUUGCUUAUCAUGUACAGCUCAAAAUUUUUGUAGAUCUCAUGAGAUAAGGAUAAUAAGGGCCUACUCUACAUUGUGCAAACUUGCAAUUUUUUUUUUAUAAUCAUUGAAUUACAUAAUAAUAUUUUUGAUAAUAUUUUUUAUGUUAAGACUUAAGAGAACAUCAAGAAAGAUAGCUGAGCUGCCUAAGUAUCGAUGCAAAAUCCAUUAUUUUAAAAGUUCUCCAGCCCUUUUUCCCAUUAAGGUGUUGAUUUCUAGCUACAUAGAAUUUGUUCUUCUCCUCCUAGCUUCCAAUCUUCCAUGAAAAUGAAAUGGAAUAAAGACCUUUGUAUUAUUUGGUUCAAAGAAUAAUGAGAUUCCUUGAAUUGGAGAAGGUGAAAGUGUAGAAGAAAAAAAGAGAAUGGAUAAUGAGAAAUAUCAAACCAGGGUUCUGUGUCCAUUUUACAUUUGAAAAGUAGUCCCUGAACAGCUGAAUACAUUUGAAAAGUAG
RNAcentral lists this long non-coding RNA (1678 nucleotides) under Aquilegia coerulea. RNAcentral describes it as "long non-coding RNA (ACOE_LNC001258)". The record is from RNAcentral. Lineage: Eukaryota; Viridiplantae; Streptophyta; Magnoliopsida; Ranunculales; Ranunculaceae.